This 1126-nucleotide ribosomal RNA is filed under the name Martinezella tropici. Its description in RNAcentral is "bacterial SSU rRNA". It matches the Rfam family "Bacterial small subunit ribosomal RNA", at positions 83 to 1452 of the family's 1533-position model. Lineage: Bacteria; Pseudomonadati; Pseudomonadota; Alphaproteobacteria; Hyphomicrobiales; Rhizobiaceae. The record is from RNAcentral.
ACGGCUGGAUCACCUNCUUACGGGUGAGUAACGCGUGGGAAUCUACCCUUUUCUACGGAAUAACGCAGGGAAACUUGUGCUAAUACCGUAUGUGUCCUUCGGGAGAAAGAUUUAUCGGGAAAGGAUGAGCCCGCGUUGGAUUAGCUAGUUGGUGGGGUAAAGGCCUACCAAGGCGACGAUCCAUAGCUGGUCUGAGAGGAUGAUCAGCCACAUUGGGACUGAGACACGGCCCAAACUCCUACGGGAGGCAGCAGUGGGGAAUAUUGGACAAUGGGCGCAAGCCUGAUCCAGCCAUGCCGCGUGAGUGAUGAAGGCCCUAGGGUUGUAAAGCUCUUUCACCGGAGAAGAUAAUGACGGUAUCCGGAGAAGAAGCCCCGGCUAACUUCGUGCCAGCAGCCGCGGUAAUACGAAGGGGGCUAGCGUUGUUCGGAAUUACUGGGCGUAAAGCGCACGUAGGCGGAUCGAUCAGUCAGGGGUGAAAUCCCAGGGCUCAACCCUGGAACUGCCUUUGAUACUGUCGAUCUGGAGUAUGGAAGAGUAUGGAUUCNAUGAAAGNGAAAUCNAAUUUCGAGGACNCCNGUNANCUNAAGANUNNGGGCCGNCANCGGUGGAGCAUGUGGUUUAAUUCGAAGCAACGCGCAGAACCUUACCAGCCCUUGACAUCCUGUGUUACCCUUAGAGAUAGGGGGUCCACUUCGGUGGCGCAGAGACAGGUGCUGCAUGGCUGUCGUCAGCUCGUGUCGUGAGAUGUUGGGUUAAGUCCCGCAACGAGCGCAACCCUCGCCCUUAGUUGCCAGCAUUUAGUUGGGCACUCUAAGGGGACUGCCGGUGAUAAGCCGAGAGGAAGGUGGGGAUGACGUCAAGUCCUCAUGGCCCUUACGGGCUGGGCUACACACGUGCUACAAUGGUGGUGACAGUGGGCAGCGAGCACGCGAGUGUGAGCUAAUCUCCAAAAGCCAUCUCAGUUCGGAUUGCACUCUGCAACUCGAGUGCAUGAAGUUGGAAUCGCUAGUAAUCGCGGAUCAGCAUGCCGCGGUGAAUACGUUCCCGGGCCUUGUACACACCGCCCGUCACACCAUGGGAGUUGGUUUUACCCGAAGGUAGUGCGCUAACCGCAAGGAGGCUA